This 404-nucleotide ribosomal RNA is filed under the name Fusobacteriota bacterium. RNAcentral describes it as "Fusobacteria bacterium partial 16S ribosomal RNA". It matches the Rfam family "Bacterial small subunit ribosomal RNA", at positions 355 to 776 of the family's 1533-position model. Lineage: Bacteria; Fusobacteriati; Fusobacteriota. The record is from RNAcentral.
UGGGGAAUAUUGCACAAUGGAGGGAACUCUGAUGCAGCGACGCCGCGUGAGUGAUGAAGGAAUUCGUUUCGUAAAACUCUGUUCUAUGGGAAGAAAAGGACUGUACCAUAGGAGAAAGCUCCGGCUAAAUACGUGCCAGCAGCCGCGGUAAUACGUAUGGAGCGAGCGUUGUCCGGAAUUAUUGGGCGUAAAGGGCUUGUAGGUGGCUGGUUGCGUCUGUCGUGAAAGCUCAUGGCUUAACUGUGGGUUUGCGGUGGGUACGGGCUGGCUUGAGUGCAGUAGGGGAGGCUGGAAUUCCUGGUGUAGCGGUGGAAUGCGCAGAUAUCAGGAGGAAUACCGGUGGCGAAGGCGGGUCUCUGGGCUGUUACUGACGCUGAGGAGCGAAAGCGUGGGGAGCGAACAGG